UACGGAGGAUCCAAGCGUUAUCCGGAUUUAUUGGGUUUAAAGGGUGCGUAGGUGGCCUGUUAAGUCAGGGGUGAAAGACGGUAGCUUAACUAUCGCAGUGCCCUUGAUACUGAUGGGCUUGAAUGAACUAGAGGUAGGCGGAAUGUGACAAGUAGCGGUGAGAUGCAUAGAUAUGUCACAGAACACCAAUUGCGAAGGCAGCUUACUAUGGUUUUAUUGACACUGAGGCACGAAAGCGUGGGGAUCAAACAGG
RNAcentral lists this ribosomal RNA (253 nucleotides) under uncultured bacterium. Its description in RNAcentral is "partial 16S ribosomal RNA". It matches the Rfam family "Bacterial small subunit ribosomal RNA", at positions 524 to 776 of the family's 1533-position model. The record is from RNAcentral.